This is a long non-coding RNA of Cavia porcellus (domestic guinea pig), 2535 nucleotides long. RefSeq lists it as uncharacterized. Lineage: Eukaryota; Metazoa; Chordata; Mammalia; Rodentia; Caviidae. The transcript has 2 exons. The record is from RefSeq and is a predicted model, not a curated record.
UAAAGUUACUUCUUUACUAUAGUUUGUAGUUUGUCUGAUUUCUAAAAUUUAUUGGCAUUAAGUUGUUCAUUGUUAUCAUUUUAUCAUUUAUAGAAUCCUUGCUUUUCCAUCUUAUUUCAGAUAUUUGUAUUUGCGUUGUUUUUUUUUUGUUUAGAUAUCUAUCAAUUUUUUGAUCUUCUAAAAAUUGAUCUUUUGGAUUCAUUUAAUUUUUGUUGUUGAUUUUUUGUUCUCUAUUUAAUUGAUUUCCACUGUACUGGUGUUAUUUUCCUUCCUCUGCUUACUGUGAAUUUGAUUUACUUUUCCCCAAUCUAGUUUCUUACAAUGGAAACUGAAGCCAUUGACUUAAGAUCUUUCUUUAUUUCUAAUACGUGUAUUGAACACUGAGUUUUCUUCUCUGCACUGCUUUGUUUGCAUCCCACAGAGUUUGGUACACUGUCUAUUUUUGUACAGUGUCGUCUGCUUAUUUUAACUCAGUUUGGAAUACUUACUGAUUUCCAUUUUGAUAUCUCCUUUGAUUUCUGGGCUAUUUAGAAGUGUUUUUAUUAAGUUUCCAAGUAAUUUUUGAUUUUCCAGAUACCUUUGUAAUAUCAGCUCCUAAUUUAGUUACUCUAGUGAUGCUGGCAUGAACGAAAUUCUCUAAAAUUUGUUGAGACAUGUUUGGCCCAGAACAGAGACUAUCUCGGUAAGUAUUCUGAGAACAUUUAAAAAUAACAUGUAACAUGUAACAUGACAUUGUUUGUUGGAGUAUUAUGUAAAUACCAGUUAAGUCAAAUGAGUUGACAGUAUUAUCCAGAUCUUUUAUUUCAUUGCAGAUUUUUUUCUAGUUGCUCUUUAUUUUAUUUCUUCUGGUGAGUGAGAGCUUUGCUCUGUUUGGGCUCAACUUCCCAAGAGAAGAGUUUGAAAAUAUACCCCUAGUCAGAGAGCCUGAGAGGAUAUGGGACUUGCCUGUGUGAAACCCUCUCUAGGGGACUGAAGUUCUGUCUGUUGUCUAGUGCUUGGAGGGAGUUGCUCCAGGUAAGUGUUUAGCUGUUAGAUUUCUCAGUGUUUGUGGUGGGAGGCUAAGUUUACCCUUCUUGAUGGCUGGACCCGAGAGCUUGGUUUUCUAUUUGAACAGCUCCUGCUGUGUGUUUAGAGCAGAGGGGUGAGCUAGCUGAAGGCUAAACUUGCUGGGCCGUCUUUUUCUGAAGUUCACAGUUUCCAAGAGGAGUUUCAUGGGAGCUGCUCAGAGUUGGUGGAGUAACGCCUUGCUGGAGUGAAGGGGCCUCUGUUUGGUGAUUUUCUUGCUGACUGAGACUAAGUUCUUUCCUAUAUCUCCAUAUCCCCCCACCACUGGGGUCACUCUGGAUCCCAGGGGAGUGUCAAACCAUACUAACAGUGUCUCCAGACUCGUCUUGAGUGGAAGGAGGCCUGGAGACAGGAAGCUAAGGAGGAGUCUUAUUUUAGGCUUACCAUCUGGAUAGCUCGCUGUGUGUGGGGCUGGGAUUAGACUUCCCCAGGCGAGGGGAUGUAGGAUGACAGAAUUUGGGGAUGACAGGGUAGGCCUUCUGCAGUGACUCCGAGUAUUUUCUCUGGGCCCGAAGCAGGGCAAUGACUGUGUCCACAGACUACAGGAUGUUAUUCCAGAUGUCCAGUGAGGGCUUUUUCAUUUUUAGGGGAUGUAUGGAAAUCAGCUUGGUCAAGAUAAGUAAUUUGUCAAAUUACUAUCACGAAUGUAUACCAGUUUACGUGGUUAAUGUCAGUGAUGGUUUUAACUGCAUGAAUUGUGCAUUUUCAUCUUCUCUUUCUACAGAUGAGAAAACUGAGGGCUAAAGGGACAAAUCAACCUGCCCAUGGUCACCCAGGUGGUCACACAGCUUACGGGUGCAAGCAGCUCCAGACACGUGAAUGAACAGGCGUGGCUGUGCGCUAACGCGGUGCUAUUUGCAAACACUAGGGCUGGUGAGGUCUGGCCCCGGAGCUGCAGUUUACUGGAUCCUGAGCUUGGAUGUGCUAAAACACAGUGAUAGCAGUUCUCCCACUGCAUCAAAAACAGCCUCUGAGCCAGAGCAGGGGGGUCCUGGCUGCUCAGUGCUCAGCUGUGCCCUGUGAUUCCACUUGAACUCCACUGUAACCCAACACUACAGUGCUUGCAGGUGAAAAUCUAGGUCCAGAAGGUUAAGGUGCUGGCCUGAUGUCCCUCCGCAGUGGAUGGAAGAGUGGGAACCAGAUGUAGCUGUCACCUGCUGGCCCAGGCGGUGAACUGCGGGCUGGCUGAGCCCUUCCCUGGAAUGUUGUAGGUGUUCUUUCCCCUGAAUCCUCUCACUCAGCGCCCGAUGCUGCCAUGUCAGUCAGGUGUCAGGUGACAGUGACAGAGCAGGCAACUAUUUGCUUCCAAAGGUCAGCUACCUCUCCCGGUGUGCAUGAGUGGACUCUGCCGGACUGGAACCGGCUAAAUAAUUUCCGGAACAACCUCACAGUCUAGUUCUAUACAGAUGUUAAACGAACUGAGGUAAAUUUGUGUCUACACGCAAUAAAUUCACAUAAAAAGGGCUUCAA